GACGAACGCUGGCGGCGUGCUUAACACAUGCAAGUCGAGCGGUAAGGCCCUUUCGGGGGUACACGAGCGGCGAACGGGUGAGUAACACGUGGGUGACCUGCCCUCAGCUCUGGGAUAAGCCCGGGAAACUGGGUCUAAUACCGGAUAUGCCUCCAUGACGCAUGUUGUGGGGUGGAAAGCCUUGUGCGGCUGAGGAUGGGCCCGCGGCCUAUCAGCUUGUUGGUGGGGUGAUGGCCACCAAGGCGACGACGGGUAGCCGGCCUGAGAGGGCGACCGGCCACACUGGGACUGAGAUACGGCCCAGACUCCUACGGGAGGCAGCAGUGGGGAAUCUUGCGCAAUGGGCGAAAGCCUGACGCAGCGACGCCGCGUGAGGGAUGACGGCCUCGG
This 390-nucleotide ribosomal RNA is filed under the name uncultured bacterium. Its description in RNAcentral is "bacterial SSU rRNA". It matches the Rfam family "Bacterial small subunit ribosomal RNA", at positions 28 to 420 of the family's 1533-position model. The record is from RNAcentral.